AUACGGAGGAUGCAAGCGUUAUCCGGAUUUAUUGGGUUUAAAGGGUGCGUAGGCGGUUUGCUAAGCGGGAGGUGAAAUGCCGGCGCUCAACGUCGGAAGUGCCUCCCGAACUGGUGGACUGGAAUGACUCUGCCGUGGGAGGAAUGUGUAGUGUAGCGGUGAAAUGCUUAGAGAUUACACAGAACACCGAUUGCGAAGGCAUCUCACGAAGGGUUGAUUGACGCUGAGGCACGAAAGCGUGGGGAUCAAACAGGAUUAGAUACCCUGGUAGGCCACGCAGUAAACGAUGAUGGCUAACCGCUGGUUUAUUCGGAUCAGUGGCCAAGCAAAAGCGAUAAGCCAUCCACCUGGGGAGUACGACCGCAAGGUUGAAACUCAAAGGAAUUGACGGGG
This 393-nucleotide ribosomal RNA is filed under the name uncultured bacterium. Its description in RNAcentral is "partial 16S ribosomal RNA". It matches the Rfam family "Bacterial small subunit ribosomal RNA", at positions 523 to 918 of the family's 1533-position model. The record is from RNAcentral.